UCUCAAGUGUCUUAGAACCCUCCUGCAUAUAGAAUCAUCAUAGAUCACUAGCAUAUAUAUAUAAGCUCUCUUUUGAGGGGUAAAAAUAGAUGAUCAUUCUCGCAUACACACAGCUCAUCUUUUUUCUACUCAUCAAUGAAACUAUCAAAACUUGGCCAAUAUAUGUUAGGCAUGGAAGUUCACUAGUGGGAAUCUGAUAUUAUCGAAAGAAAUUCAGGGAAGAAUGACCAGAAGGAAAAAUGCAGUGCUCAAGCAUGUACACCUCUCCUUCAGUCCUAAAAAUGAAUUAAGAAAAUGGGGCUAUUUUUUCCUCCCUAUUAUCCUUUAGGACUUAGGAGGUUCAUUGGCCCUUGAAUUACACAACAGACCCCCCUCAACCUAACUCUUCUGGUAUCUAAAAGUUUCACCUUAAAGAUUAAACCAUUUUGUCCAUUGCUUUAUUUUCUCAUCCACAAAUUAGAUUGUUCUGAAAACUGAAGAUGGCAAAGAAGCUUAAACCAAACAGAAGAUUGUUUGUAAUCUAGAAUUUUACAAGAAUUCAAUUUAAUUGAUUUCUUUUUAAUCAAUUCUCAUGUUUGGAAUGAAAAAAUUUAAUUCUUUUCAACUUAAAAAAAAUUUCAUUUUAAAAGAAAUAGAAAUCAAGCUUUAUUUUUUUAGAAUUCAGUUGAAUUCUUUUCUUACAAAUGAU
This 688-nucleotide unclassified non-coding RNA is filed under the name Hevea brasiliensis (rubber tree). Lineage: Eukaryota; Viridiplantae; Streptophyta; Magnoliopsida; Malpighiales; Euphorbiaceae. The record is from RNAcentral.